This 5262-nucleotide long non-coding RNA is filed under the name Homo sapiens (human). RNAcentral's name for it is "TNPO1 divergent transcript, transcript variant 1 (TNPO1-DT)". Lineage: Eukaryota; Metazoa; Chordata; Mammalia; Primates; Hominidae. The record is from RNAcentral.
GCUGCCUGGGUCGGCUGGGCCUGUGGGCCUGCGUCCGACAGCGCGCGGCCGUGCUUUCUAAGCGGGCUCGGCAGCACCAGACUUCACCGGCCCGGCGCGGGGCUCACAAGUGCUCGCACUCCCUGCGGCCGGCGCGCUGACCGGAGCCUCUGGGUCUCGCACGCAGCAGCUGCAGACGCUGCCCGGCGCGGUGGGGCUGUGAGCAAAACGGCCCGCCGGUGUGGUUGCCCAGACUGUGCUGGGCCCUCCUAGGUGGAUGGCCCUGCCCCAGCCUAACUUCUGUACCCCAGCAUAACCUCCAAAGUAACAGCCGUGCCCUGGGAGCCUGUUCAACACUGAACAUAUCCCACAAUAACACUGUUCCAGCGUCGCUGGUAAAAAGCAGAAAUGGCUUCGCUGGAGGCAUCGACAAAUCUAAUGCAGUAACCUCAUUUUACAGAAGAGAACUCUAAGAGGAUAACUAACUUGGCCAAGAUCACAUGAAGAAUCUCUUCCUUCUUCUACUGGUUCAUCCAUACAAAGUACAACCUACCCACAGGAAUCUCACUCAUACCAAACAUUUUCCAUCUGACUGGAAGGCUGACACCUGUUCCUGAGUGAUGUUUCUGGAUGAGAUUAGCAUUCAAAUUCGUGGACUCAUUAAAGUAGAUGGCUCUCUCCAAUAUGGGUGGGCAUCAUCCAAUCUGUUGAAGGCGUGAAGAGAACAAGAGAAGGAGGAAGGAAGAAUUCACCUUUUUUCUUGCUGCCCACCUGCUUGGGCUGGGACAUUGCAUCUCACCUUCUCCAGCCUUUGGAUGAGGAUUUACACCCUGGUUCUCAGGCCUUCAGGCUCUAACUGGAGCUACACUAUCAACUUUCCUGGGCCUCCAGAUUGCAGAUGGUGGAUCACGGUACUUUUUAGCCUCCAUCAUAAUAUGAGAAAAAAGAGGCACAGUGAAGCUAAAUAUAUUGGCUAAAGAUCACAAAGCUAUUUACUACAAAAAGGCAAAACAUCUAAAGAAGAGACUUCAAACAACAAACAAACCAAUCAGAAAUUCACAAAUCAUUGCUCUAGAGAAGAUUAUCAAGGUUAUCUGUGCUCAAUGUGUGCAUCUCAGAUCAGCAGCAUCAGCAUCACCUGGGAGCUUGUUAGAGCUGGAGACUCUCAGGCUCCACGGCAGACUUCCUGAAUCAGAAGCUACAAUUUAACAGGAUCCUCGGGUGAUCUGAAAAUGCAAUAAAGUUUGGGAAGCACUGCUGUUGGUCAUUAGACAAUCUAAUGAACUAAGACUUUUGCCGAGCAUCUGAGUUGAAAUUUUUCAAGAUGAAAAGUUGCUAAAGAAAGAGAAAGGGAAGCGGUUUGCUCCAGUAUUCCUCUUUCCACCUUCCCACUGACUGGGAAGCGGCGGUUAGCAGAGCCACAGUCUUGGAUUAGAGAUAAGAGGGACAUGUUGAGGAAGGUGGAGUCUCCCCCACAGCCCUGGACCAGGCUCCAGUGCCAACAAAAGCCAAGAAGAACCUCUGGAGCAAUCAGUCUUACGGAAUCCCUGUAUUCUAGGAUUUGGCAAGCUGUCCACUGAAACAUUAUUUUUCCCAGCCUUCUUUGCAGAGGUGGGGAAACUGAGGCAAAGGGUGUUUAAAUGGUCUGCCCAAAGUCACACAGCUAAGAAGCAGUGAUGGGAUAUGAAGUCAAACAGUCUUAAAAGCAAGCUAUCCUGUUGCAAAAUAGAAAUUAGUUGAUAACGUCUUCCAGGAGACCUACGGCCAUCCUACUGAUAUGAACCAGAUCAUACCUGCCCUGAUGGGAUGCCAGAGAAAGACUGCUGCAAGGUACGCGCCACUCACAGACCUCUCCAUUUAUCUCACUGAUGCAAAGGACCCUGAGUAGGGAUCCUCUGGAAACAGAACAGAGGGAAGAAGAUACCUUCCCUGAAGCCCAGAUGUUCCAGAAGCCUGCGCCUCAUUCACAAAGUCACCCCAAAAAUGCCCUAGAGUUUGGAGUUUUGAAGAAGCGGGAAGAAGGCCUGAGUAAGGGCCUGGGAACCAAGUUAGAUCCUACUUCAGCAUCAGCACAUGCCAGCGAUGGUGCACACAGGUGGAGAGCGGCCUGCCCGUCUUUUCCAUGGUGCCCACAGACCCAUUUAGGAUGAAAGAUCAGAAAAUUCUCUCCAUGUCACCGCUUCUGAAACAUGUGAAUAUUAAUAUUUGGUGCCUAAAAGGCCAUGGCAAAUUUUCAUUGGUUUUAUCUUAUUCAUGAUUAUAGAGUUGAAAGAAUACAUAUUCCCAUGGGGAUCAAUGAAGACAUUCUCAUUUUGAAUGAAGUAGAAUAUAAGUUGUAAAGAUAUAGAAUUUUCCUGAACUGAACCUUGAACCAAAAAUCCCCUCAAUUAACCUGGAACUAAACACAGUCCCUGAAGAUAACAAGGAGUUUCAGGAUGCCACAGGGCUGUCUGUGCAGUAUGGGGCUUCUUGCUCUAUCUCUGGUAUCUGAGGCAGAUAGGCUACUCAGGCCCCUCUCUGGUCUCAAGGUGGGCUGGCUGAGAUGUCAGUUUCUUCCUCAGUGACAGCUUGGGUACAGUAUGUGUAAACUGAUUGUCAGCUGAGCUGAAGGGACUCUGCCCAUAUUGGAGUGUUCUACAAGAAGAGGUGUCAAACCUAAAGGUCUAAAAUUACUAUGAAAGGAGUAUUGGAAACCACUGGGACAAUUGUGAUCACAACUGGUGGUAGCCUUCUCGUUUGGGUGAGAAAGACAGAAAGGAGGAAGAUGUGUUAGUCAAGGUUCUCUAGAGGGACAAAACUAAUAGGAUAUAUGUAUAUAUGAGAGGGAGUUUAUUAAGGAGAAUUGACUCACUUGAUCACAAGGUAAAGUCCCAAGAUAGGCUGUCUGCAAGUUGAGGAGCAAGGAAGUCAUUGGUGGAUUGUUCUGGGUACCAAAACCUCAAAAGUAGGGAAAUCGACAGUGCAGCCUUCAGUCUGUGGUCAAAGGCUCGAGGGGCCCUGGCAGACCACUGGUGUAAGUCCAAGAGUCCCAGAAGCUGAAGAACUUGGAGUCUGAUGUUUGAGGGCAGGAAGCAUCCAGCACAGGAGAAAGACGGAUGCUGGAAGACUUAGCAAGUCUGUUCUUUCCAAUUUCUUCUGCCUGCUUUUAUUCUAGCCAUGCUGGCAGCUGAUUAGAUGGUGCCCUCCCAAAUUGAGGGUGGCUGUGCCUCUCCCAGUCCACUGACUCAAAUGUUAAUCUCCUUUGGCAACACCCUCACAGACACACCCAGGAACAAUACUUUGCAUCCUUCAUUCCAAUCAAGUUGACACUCAAUAUUAACCAUCACAGAAGGAGAAUUUCAGGCUGAGUCCAAACACUAUGGCCCCAGCCCCAGCUUCCCCUUUCUGGGUUGAAUAACCAGACUGAGCCUAAGAAAAGGAAAAGAGUUGACUUUCUCCCAAAAGGCCUGCAGCGGGUUAGAAAGCAAUGGUUUGGGGACCAUACUGAGUGCCUAGGAUGCUCUGGACCACAAAGCUUGAAGUCAAAUUGUUCAUGCACUUGUUUCAUGAUAGGAAGAGAGAGAGAGAGAGAGAGAGAGAGAGAGAAAUUUCCUUUCCUUGAAGAAUGGCAAAACACGUCUCUUGUUCUGGGGGCUAUAUCUUGAAGGGUAUCUGAUCUCCCCCUCAUGGGAGGAACUAGAAUGCCCUAAGGCAGCCGUGGCUCCUGGAGCUGAGAGAUCUUUCUGACACUUUGUGAGAGCUGCAAGGCUAAGUCUGGAGCCAGAAAAGUCCAUGUGGACAAGUGCAGAGCAAGCAGAUCUGAGACACAUGUGGGAGCAAGCUGGACAUGUCCAAAAGUCAGAGGAAGCAAGAGCAGACAUGCAUGAGCAGGCAGAUGAGGCUGGUGCCCAGGCAGCAGGCUGAGGCUCUGGCUGGGCUUUGGAUGCUCCUGAGAGUCCAGUUAGAGACCAGUGAGCAAACCCACAGUGAACUCUUAUUCCUCACGCAGCAGGACGAGGGAUUAAGCACAAAGCCUUAAAGGUCUGAGUGUCUCUUUAUCCUGACCUCAGGAAAGAGAGGCAAGUAUCAUGUUUCUAAAAGUCUGAGAAGUCUUCACAUGACAGCCUACACCAAAAGAACUCAAAUGCACAUCCACUGCAUACACGCAUGUGUGCACACAUAUACAUGUGUACACAUGCAUGCCCACACACAACCCUCUGGAAGAGGAAGUAAAGAGACUUUAUGUUUUCAGCCCCUCUUGAGGAAACUUAAACUAAGUCUUUCUGUGGGGUUAGUGGUGGAGACAGAGAGGGUCUGGGGUCACCGAGGCCGAGGUGGCUGGACCCAGAGGGUAGAGCUGAGGGGAUCCCCUGAGACUGGGAAGAUGGAGCAGAAGCAGAUGGCAGAUGGCAGCAGGUGAGAGCAGACUGGAUUUCUCCUAAAUCACCAGAUCCAGCCAACCUUUCUUUCCUUAGGGACACCUCUAGAUCCCAUUCCAAAUGAACUCUUUCUCUGACCUUUCACCUCAAUUCAGAAUUUGGGAAAUUUAGCCAUGAUCUUAGGAACACAGAGGCUUGAAACAAUCUUUUCUAACCACCCGUUUGUUCAGACUGUGUAAGUUCUGCUUCUGCAUCCAGUGUCAACACCCAAGAACCAUUUUAAAGGGGAGCCAUCCUUUGAAAUUAAACUUCUUUUAAUAAUAAAGACAGAUUUCAGGGUUGACAUAAAAGAUAGCCACAGUAAAGCCAAUCCUCCAGUGUAUAACAUUUUUCAAAGUUUCCUUCCUCUUCAUUGCUGGUGUUCAUGUACAGUCCAGAGUUAGUCUACAUUAAAUUAUAGAUUGUUUUCAGCAAUAAUGCAAACAUUUGGAAGCCUUCAAACUCUCUGAUAACUAACUUCUACAUUCUCUCUGCUAUUAUUAUAUAGAAAGGGAAAUUUUACCUGAUGCUGUUAAAGUCCUCACGAACAUAGUGAUCCGAAUUGGCUGAAGUGGAAAACUAAAUGUUAGCUGAUUUUCAAAACAAGAUUUCCACUCUGAAUUCCCAUUUUUCACAUGUGAUCAUAUGCCUUGUUGUGAAGUUGAACUAAAAAGAAACUCCAUGCCCACUGGCUUAAUGCUAGAAGAUAAUCUACAGCAUAGUAAUUUCUUAGACUUCACUUUAUUAGCCACUAAACUUGGAAUGAUUAUUUCUAUGUUCAAUUAUUAAGUCUAUAUCUCCAUUUCUUAAAAAGGUCUGAGGCAGCCCCUUUGAAUAUUAAUACGCAUUUAUUUUCACCUCUCAAAUAAAAAAAUAGUUCACAGUG